GACGAACGUUGGCGGCGUGCUUAACACAUGCAAGUCGAACGAUGAUGCCAGCUUGCUGGUGGAUUAGUGGCGAACGGGUGAGUAACACGUGAGCAACCUGCCCCUGACUUCGGGAUAACCGCGGGAAACCGUGGCUAAUACCGGAUAUGACGCGCUAUCGCAUGGUGGUGUGUGGAAAGAUUUAUCGGUUGGGGAUGGGCUCGCGGCCUAUCAGCUUGUUGGUGGGGUGAUGGCCUACCAAGGCGACGACGGGUAGCCGGCCUGAGAGGGUGACCGGCCACACUGGGACUGAGACACGGCCCAGACUCCUACGGGAGGCAGCAGUGGGGAAUAUUGCACAAUGGGCGCAAGCCUGAUGCAGCGACGCCGCGUGAGGGAUGACGGCCUUCGGGUUGUAAACCUCUUUCAGUAGGGAAGAAGGCCUUCGGGUUGACGGUACCUGCAGAAGAAGCGCCGGCUAACUACGU
RNAcentral lists this ribosomal RNA (467 nucleotides) under uncultured bacterium. RNAcentral describes it as "partial 16S ribosomal RNA". It matches the Rfam family "Bacterial small subunit ribosomal RNA", at positions 28 to 506 of the family's 1533-position model. The record is from RNAcentral.